Long non-coding RNA from Notolabrus celidotus (New Zealand spotty), 900 nucleotides. RefSeq lists it as uncharacterized. The record is from RefSeq and is a predicted model, not a curated record. The transcript is spliced from 2 exons. Lineage: Eukaryota; Metazoa; Chordata; Actinopteri; Labriformes; Labridae.
GUCGGUGUAGGCUACACUAUGUUCUUAAAAUGCACCUAACUUUAAACAUGCACUGUGAUUUCUUUCAAGGAAAAAGUAAGCUGGAUAUUUAAUAAGACAGUAGUGAGGAUCCUUUCUGCGACACUGACAGAGUCUUUCUUUUAAAAUUGAUCCAAAAGAAAACUUGGGACUGAUUGCCCGUGUUUGUCCGUCUGAGCUCUAAAAGCAGGUAAGCCACUGACUAACGCACAUUGUGCCAGUUGUCAGUUCCACUGUGCGUGUGACAGCGGCUAACCUGGUUUUGGGAAUACCUCUCGUUUUAUAUAUUGGGCUCGUGCAAGACCUGCCACAGCCGGACCAGACAGACACCAUACCUCAAGCUCUCCCUGAGCAUGUCUCGUGCACAUUUCUGGAACAGGCCUGCUCACCAUGAGUGUUCAGCCAGUGGUCCCCAUGUGUAGACCACUUCCUCACAUGUUCACAUACUGUCCUCUUAUUUAGGUCAAGUAGCUAUUGCGCUGCCUCCUAUAGAGGGGAUUCCUCUAAUGCCGUCUACUGUGAAGACUAUUGGUGAGUGUUUUAUUUCUGUAUCUGUCUCAUCUGACAUGAUAAUCAUAAUUUUCCUGGCUGGAUACAAAUUUGAGGUCAGAGGCCCUCCAGGGGUUCUCAUGGCCCCUUCAGCAAAAAAAAAGGAGCAUUGCUAAGAGAAAUACAACAUGAUUUUAGAACAAAUUUACUACCAUAUUUUUGGUCAGCUGUUUUGGAGUUAUUUUGUAAAUAAUGAAGCAGAAAAUUUUUAAAAAUAAAUUAAAAAUAAUUAUUACCAAGUAAAAUAAAUCAACUGUGUCCACAUACGUUGUACUAUGUUUGUUUGUAAAAAAGUAUUCCCUAGUCCAGAAAGUAAAAUGCUACUCAAAACAA